UACGUAGGGGGCAAGCGUUGUCCGGAAUCAUUGGGCGUAAAGCGCGUGUAGGCGGCCCGAUAAGUCCGCUGUGAAAGUCCAGGGCUCAACCCUGGAAUGCCGGUGGAUACUGUCGGGCUCGAGUCCGGAAGAGGCGAGUGGAAUUCCUGGUGUAGCGGUGAAAUGCGCAGAUAUCAGGAGGAACACCAAUUGCGAAGGCAGCUCGCUGGGACGUUACUGACGCUGAGACGCGAAAGCGUGGGGAGCAAACAGG
Molecule: ribosomal RNA, 253 nt
Filed under: uncultured bacterium
Lineage: Bacteria
Description: partial 16S ribosomal RNA
Rfam family: Bacterial small subunit ribosomal RNA
Source: RNAcentral